Ictidomys tridecemlineatus (thirteen-lined ground squirrel) is the source of this 746-nucleotide long non-coding RNA. RefSeq lists it as uncharacterized. The record is from RefSeq and is a predicted model, not a curated record. Lineage: Eukaryota; Metazoa; Chordata; Mammalia; Rodentia; Sciuridae.
GGCCCUUUGGGGGGCGGGGCACUGUCGGGUUUACAUUGGAAAACUGGGACCCGGCCACUGUCCCAGACGAGCCGGCACCCGAACCCACCGUGCCUGAGCUCAUGAUGCUGGGGACUCACCCUUCUCCACAGCUUUGCGGAAUUCGAUUCUCGAAACCUAGGGACGCGCCUAUCCUUCCAACAAAGGGUCCCAAGCAGCCUGUACCAUUGCGUACUUGGCACCUGACCUCCACUUCCUCUCAUCAGAGAUGACGUUGAGUCUUCAGAUCACUCUGUGCGAGGUGGGUGCAGUUGUCCCCAUUUCACAGAUGGGGAAACCGAGGUACGGAGAGGAGAUGUCAUCUACCCAACACACCCUGGCAGUGAUUGGCUGAAUUAUGACUUGAAUCCAAAUCUCCUGACCACAGAAGGUGUCUCCACUCUUAAUCACUAUUCAGAAGACCCUGGACAGCACUUUGAUCUGGGUUUUGCCAUCUGUAACAGAUGGCAUCUCUGCUUCUUGAUGGCUGUGGCGUGAGCUGCACCCCUGUGCCACCCUCUCCCGUCGUGAUGUUCAGCCUCACCUCAAGCCCUGAGCAACGCAGCUGGCCUUCUAUGGACUAAGACCUCUGAAACCAUGAGCCCUUCAGGUAAACUCUUCCUCCUCUAAAAUCAUGCUGGUUGGAUCCACAGCAGCAAAAAAAAGACUGACUGAAGCAUCACUGCUAGGUGUAUAAAUGAGAGAAAAUAAAAAUACGGUCUCACAAA